UACGAAGGGUGCAAGCGUUACUCGGAAUUACUGGGCGUAAAGCGUGCGUAGGUGGUUUGUUAAGUCUGUUGUGAAAGCCCAGGGCUUAGCCUUGGAAGUGCGCCAGAAACUGGAAGGCUAGAGUGCCGGAGGGGAGAGUGGAAUUCCUGGUGUAGCGGUGAAAUGCGUAGAUAUCAGGAGGAAUACCGGUGGCGAAAGCGACUCUCUGGACGGUAACUGACGCUGAGGCACGAAAGCGUGGGGAGCAAACAGG
RNAcentral lists this ribosomal RNA (253 nucleotides) under uncultured bacterium. RNAcentral's name for it is "partial 16S ribosomal RNA". It matches the Rfam family "Bacterial small subunit ribosomal RNA", at positions 524 to 776 of the family's 1533-position model. The record is from RNAcentral.